AAAUUGAAGAGUUUGAUCAUGGCUCAGAUUGAACGCUGGCGGCAGGCCUAACACAUGCAAGUCGAACGGUAACAGGAAGCAGCUUGCUGCUUUGCUGACGAGUGGCGGACGGGUGAGUAAUGUCUGGGAAACUGCCUGAUGGAGGGGGAUAACUACUGGAAACGGUGGCUAAUACCGCAUAACGUCGCAAGACCAAAGAGGGGGACCUUCGGGCCUCUUGCCAUCAGAUGUGCCCAGAUGGGAUUAGCUAGUUGGUGAGGUAACGGCUCACCAAGGCGACGAUCCCUAGCUGGUCUGAGAGGAUGACCAGCCACACUGGAACUGAGACACGGUCCAGACUCCUACGGGA
RNAcentral lists this ribosomal RNA (349 nucleotides) under Salmonella enterica subsp. enterica serovar Typhimurium. Its description in RNAcentral is "bacterial SSU rRNA". It matches the Rfam family "Bacterial small subunit ribosomal RNA", at positions 1 to 346 of the family's 1533-position model. The record is from RNAcentral. Lineage: Bacteria; Pseudomonadati; Pseudomonadota; Gammaproteobacteria; Enterobacterales; Enterobacteriaceae.